CCUCCUUCCCGGCGCGGCCAGCGGGGGCAAGAGCGAGGUGGCUGCGAGGAGGCGUCACUGAAAGCCCUUGCUUGGGGAAGGCUGCGGGCUCGGAGCCGGAGACGCCGAGCUGGGGCCGGGUGGCAUUUUUCUGAAGUUGUUCAUUAAGACUUCCCAGCAUUCCUACAGAUAUAAAUAGGUGAGGCCGCAGGCAGUGCUCUGGGUCCGGGAGCGCUGUCCCCAGCAUGAACGCGGCCGGCGGCGGGAGUGAAUGACUGCAGCUGCGACUUCCUUCCCGGGCCGUCCGAGCCUCCUUCCCCACCGACUUUCUUGUUUCGAUUAACUCCGUGGACUCCUCUUUCUUCGCCUGGAACAUCAAUAUGUGUCAUGUCAUUGUCACCUGUCGCUCGAUGCUCUGGACCUUGCUGAGUAUUGUGGUGGCUUUUGCCGAGCUCAUUGCCUUCAUGAGCGCAGACUGGCUGAUCGGGAAAGCGAGGAGCCGCGGCGGCGUGGAGCCGGCGGGCCCGGGCGGGGGCUCCCCGGAGUCCUACCACCCGACCCUGGGCAUCUACGCCCGCUGCAUCCGGAACCCAG
RNAcentral lists this small RNA (573 nucleotides) under Pongo abelii (Sumatran orangutan). Its description in RNAcentral is "processed transcript". Lineage: Eukaryota; Metazoa; Chordata; Mammalia; Primates; Hominidae. The record is from RNAcentral.